Molecule: ribosomal RNA, 453 nt
Filed under: uncultured Prevotella sp.
Lineage: Bacteria; Pseudomonadati; Bacteroidota; Bacteroidia; Bacteroidales; Prevotellaceae
Description: partial 16S ribosomal RNA
Rfam family: Bacterial small subunit ribosomal RNA
Source: RNAcentral
ACGGGGGCAGCAGUGAGGAAUAUUGGUCAAUGGACGAGAGUCUGAACCAGCCAAGUAGCGUGCAGGAUGACGGCCCUAUGGGUUGUAAACUGCUUUUGUACGGGAAUAAAGUGACCUACGUGUAGGUUUUUGCAUGUACCGUAAGAAUAAGGACCGGCUAAUUCCGUGCCAGCAGCCACGGUAAUACGGAAGGUCCGGGCGUUAUCCGGAUUUAUUGGGUUUAAAGGGAGCGUAGGCCGUGCUUUAAGCGUGUUGUGAAAUGUAGGCGCCCAACGUCUGCACUGCAGCGCGAACUGGAGCACUUGAGUACGCAGGAAGUAGGCGGAAUUCGUCGUGUAGCGGUGAAAUGCUUAGAUAUGACGAAGAACUCCGAUUGGGAAGCCAGCUUACUGUAGCGCCACUGACGCUGAUGCUCGAAAGCGUGGGUAUCGAACAGGAUUAGAUACCCUGGUA